ACGGGUGAGUAACACGUGAUUUAUCUACCUUCGAGCGGGGAAUAACUGAGGGAAACCUUAGCUAAUACCGCAUAAUACCUACGGGUCAAAGGAGCAAUCCACUUGAAGAGGAGAUCGCGGCCGAUUAGUUAGUUGGCGGGGUAAUGGCCCACCAAGACAAUGAUCGGUAUCCGGCCUGAGAGGGCGCACGGACACACUGGAACUGAAACACGGUCCAGACUCCUACGGGAGGCAGCAGUGGGGAAUUUUGCGCAAUGGGGGAAACCCUGACGCAGCAACGCCGCGUGGAGGAUGAAAUCCCUUGGGAUGUAAACUCCUUUCGAUCGGGACGAUUAUGACGGUACCGGAAGAAGAAGCCCCGGCUAACUUCGUGCCAGCAGCCGCGG
This 386-nucleotide ribosomal RNA is filed under the name uncultured bacterium. RNAcentral's name for it is "bacterial SSU rRNA". It matches the Rfam family "Bacterial small subunit ribosomal RNA", at positions 102 to 520 of the family's 1533-position model. The record is from RNAcentral.